AGAGUUUGAUCCUGGCUCAGGAUGAACGCUAGCUACAGGCUUAACACAUGCAAGGUCGAGGGGCAGCAUGUUGGUUGCUUGCAACCAACGAUGGCGACCGGCGCACGGGUGAGUAACGCGUAUCCAACCUACCCUUGUCCAUCGGAUAACCCGUCGAAAGGCGGCCUAACACGAUAUGCGGUUCACGGCAGGCAUCUAAGGUGAACGAAAUGUGAAGGAGAAGGAUGGGGAUGCGUCUGAUUAGCUUGUUGGCGGGGUAACGACCCACCAAGGCUACGAUCGAGUAGGGGUUCUGAGAGGAAGGUCCCCCACAUUGGAACUGAGACACGGUCCAAACUCCGUACGGAGGCA
This 351-nucleotide ribosomal RNA is filed under the name uncultured bacterium. RNAcentral's name for it is "bacterial SSU rRNA". It matches the Rfam family "Bacterial small subunit ribosomal RNA", at positions 8 to 350 of the family's 1533-position model. The record is from RNAcentral.